Non-coding RNA from Caerostris extrusa, 73 nucleotides. NCBI's taxonomy places the organism in Eukaryota, Metazoa, Arthropoda, Arachnida, Araneae, Araneidae. The record is from the annotation of a GenBank genome assembly.
UCACCGAAGUCAAGCAUCAUUGGGCGCGGUCAGUACUUGGGUGGAUGACCACCCGCGAACACCGCGUGCCGUU